UAGGGAAUCUUCGGCAAUGGGGGGAACCCUGACCGAGCAACGCCGCGUGAGUGAAGAAGGUUUUCGGAUCGUAAAGCUCUGUUGUUAAGGAAGAACGAGUGUGAGAAUGGAAAGUUCAUGCUGUGACGGUACUUAACCAGAAAGGGACGGCUAACUACGUGCCAGCAGCCGCGGUAAUACGUAGGUCCCGAGCGUUGUCCGGAUUUAUUGGGCGUAAAGCGAGCGCAGGCGGUUAGAAAAGUCUGAAGUGAAAGGCAGUGGCUCAACCAUUGUAGGCUUUGGAAACUGUUUAACUUGAGUGCAGAAGGGGAGAGUGGAAUUCCAUGUGUAGCGGUGAAAUGCGUAGAUAUAUGGAGGAACACCGGUGGCGAAGGCGACUUACUGGGCUCAUUCUGACGCUGAGGAACGAAAGCGUGGGUAGCAAACAGG
Molecule: ribosomal RNA, 429 nt
Filed under: Bacteroidota bacterium
Lineage: Bacteria; Pseudomonadati; Bacteroidota
Description: Bacteroidetes bacterium partial 16S ribosomal RNA
Rfam family: Bacterial small subunit ribosomal RNA
Source: RNAcentral